This is a non-coding RNA of Arabis alpina (gray rockcress), 107 nucleotides long. The record is from Rfam. Lineage: Eukaryota; Viridiplantae; Streptophyta; Magnoliopsida; Brassicales; Brassicaceae.
AAAACAUGGUUAGUGCAGUCCCUAAUGUACUUCUUGAAACGUUCCAAUGCUUCAAAGGAUGACUUCAUGGCUCCUUUCUUGAAAUUAGAGAUUUUGUUCCUCAUGGA